Molecule: ribosomal RNA, 462 nt
Filed under: uncultured bacterium
Lineage: Bacteria
Description: partial 16S ribosomal RNA
Rfam family: Bacterial small subunit ribosomal RNA
Source: RNAcentral
GAUGAACGCUGGCGGCGUGCCUAAUACAUGCAAGUCGAGCGGUAAGGCCCUUCGGGGUACACGAGCGGCGGACGGCUGAGUAACACGUAGGAACCUACCCCAAACUGAGGGAUAAGCACCAGAAAUGGUGUCUAAUACCGCAUGUGCUCUACGGAGUAAAGCUUCGGCGGUUUGGGAAGGGCCUGCGUCCGAUUAGCUAGUUGGUGGUAUAAAAGACUACCAAGGCGACGAUCGGUAGCCGGCCUGAGAGGGUGACCGGCCACACUGGGACUGAGAUACGGCCCAGACUCCUACGGGAGGCAGCAGUGGGGAAUAUUGCACAAUGGGCGCAAGCCUGAUGCAGCGACGCCGCGUGAGGGAUGACGGCCUUCGGGUUGUAAACCUCUUUCAGUAGGGACGAAGCGCAAGUGACGGUACCUACAGAAGAAGGACCGGCCAACUACGUGCCAGCCGCCGCCGUAA